AGACUCAGUUGGGGGCGAAAGCAACAUAAAACUUUAAAAAUUAUAUACCAUAUUGAUCAAUAGCAAUACAAAAGUAAGGAAUAAAUUUGAUGUUUCCACAGAAUCAAAAAGUUAUAAUAAGAAUAAAACUUAAUCUCAAAUUAGAAAAGUUACCUGUUGAGUAAUCAAAUAUGGAGGAGCUGAGCACGGAGAAAGACGGACGGUGAAGAACCUGAGGAGGAGAAAUAGGAGAAGGCUUGAUGGCCUGUGGCGUGUUAGUGACCCAUUAGAGAAAUUUGGGCCGACAGAAGCCCAAUAUUGUAGGUUUUAAAUUGGAAGUAUCUUCGUUAAACUGAAAAUUGAACCAG
Molecule: long non-coding RNA, 347 nt
Filed under: Nicotiana benthamiana
Lineage: Eukaryota; Viridiplantae; Streptophyta; Magnoliopsida; Solanales; Solanaceae
Description: long non-coding RNA (NBEN_LNC001974)
Source: RNAcentral